Molecule: transfer RNA, 83 nt
Filed under: Schistocephalus solidus
Lineage: Eukaryota; Metazoa; Platyhelminthes; Cestoda; Diphyllobothriidea; Diphyllobothriidae
Rfam family: tRNA
About the family: Transfer RNA (tRNA) molecules are approximately 80 nucleotides in length.
Source: Rfam by way of RNAcentral
GACCUCAUAGCUCAGUUGGCUAGAGCGUUGGCUGAACUAAAGCCUUGCCCUUGCUGGCGUGGGUUAAAAUCCCACCGAGGCUG